GGAAAACCAGUUGACAAGAGGAUCAAAGGCAAAUUUCGUACAAAGUUACUAAAAGAAAGAAGAGAAUAAGGAGCGGAAUAACAUCCCUCCAAGCCCAAGCCUGGGCCUGACGGAGGCGUCCCUUAGCCCAGCACGUCCUCAGCCUUGGGGAUCAUGAACCCCUUUGAGAACCAGAAGGGGGAAGGGCCCUUCCCUGGAAACAGACAUGUAUGCACAAGACCCCUAGAAGGGUGCCUUCUCUGGCCGGGCAGUCACAGGCACCCUGGCCCCAUCCAUGGUCCCAGCUGGAGCCUGACUUCCGAAGCCACACCACUCUAACCAGAUGCAAAUCCACUCAACUUUGGAGAAACCACAUAAACAAGAAGGGUAAGAUCCAGAGGGAACACUCCAGCCUGCUGAGACUUCCACUGUCCCAACAACCCUAAAGGUUAUAGAGACAUCCUUGAGACCAUUUUUAAAGUGUGAGUCACAUUGCAGGGAUAGAAUGCUGAAGCCAUCCUACUCAACAAUAGGUGACAGAAGAAACAACACAAGGAGAGAGGAAAUGGGAAAGGCGGCAGGCCCUGCUUCAUCCCAAAUCACCCCUAUCCUCACCUCCAGGGAAGAGAAAGGGGUACAAGACAAAGGAGAUGAUUGAUGGGGCUCCCUACCCAAGCUAAGCUGUUCUCACUUCCACAUCCCUGCUUGUCCCUUCUUCCUACCCUGGCCAGGCAUGUCUAUACAUAUCUCCAAAACUCAAGAAUCCACUGGAUUUCUCUUGCACCAGGCCUAACAUCACUUACAGUUGGAAGCUGUUGAUCCUGUUCCUGAGAAUGAAGAGACACACUGUAGUUCUAUCUUGAGAGAGAUGGCCCUCUUUCGUGAAUCACGACAGGUACAGACGGCAUGUGGCAACAUGGGAAAAGAGAAAAUAGAAUAGCCAAGAAACUGAUACUCAGAAGAUCAUGGAAGAGGGCUCCAGUUCCAUGGUUCCAAAGACCCCCUGAAUAGCCCCAGGACAAUUCAACACCAACAUGAUGAAAACCAACUCAUCCCUCCACCAUGUGGUUUCUCCCAUAGUCCCUGUCUCUGUUGGUGGCACCUUCCAACCCAAGUGCCAAGCUAGAAACAGUGGAGUCAUCUGUAACAUUUUCCUUUGCACUGCCAACCACAUCCUAUCAUCCUCACUGUCUCCAGCCCCAGGAUAUGGCUCUAUCCCUUGAGGUUUCCCGACCUCCAGCCCACAUUCCCCUCAAUUACCCAGCUCAAGUGUGACUCCUGCUUCCUGCAAGACCUACAGAAAGAAAAUCACAGUACAUCCAAUCUUAUAUCCUGCCUUUUUUCUAUUUAACAUAUUUUGAACAAUAUUC
Molecule: long non-coding RNA, 1349 nt
Filed under: Homo sapiens (human)
Lineage: Eukaryota; Metazoa; Chordata; Mammalia; Primates; Hominidae
Description: HSALNT0287537
Source: RNAcentral